RNAcentral lists this ribosomal RNA (303 nucleotides) under uncultured bacterium. Its description in RNAcentral is "partial 16S ribosomal RNA". It matches the Rfam family "Bacterial small subunit ribosomal RNA", at positions 507 to 808 of the family's 1533-position model. The record is from RNAcentral.
AGCAGUCGCCGCGGGAAUACGUAGGGUGCGAGCGUUAAUCGGAAUUACUGGGCGUAAAGCGUGCGCAGGCGGUUGUGUAAGACAGGUGUGAAAUCCCCGGGCUUAACCUGGGAACUGCGCUUGUGACUGCACAGCUAGAGUAUGGCAGAGGGGGGUGGAAUUCCACGUGUAGCAGUGAAAUGCGUAGAGAUCGGGAGGAACAUCAGUGGCGAAGGCGGCCAUCUGGGACAACACUGACGCUGAGGCACGAAAGCGUGGGGAGCAAACAGGAUUAGAACCCCCGUAGUCCCUGUCUCUUAUACA